CAGUUGCUUCAGGCCAUCUGGAUGUAUACGUCAGGUCACAGGGGAUAUGAUGGCUUAGCUUGGGCUCAGAGGCCUGACAACCUCCAGAUUCAGAGUUCUUAACCUCUUUUUCCUGGAAGUUUGCUGAGGAGCCAGAUGCCUUGUGCUGACUUGUCUAUUUUGAAAGAGGCUGCAGAAACACUCGAUUCCACCUCAACCCGGAAUUCAGCUUUCUUAGGAAAGGAAAUAACCCCCGAAGCCUUUGCAACUAAGGACAUGUAUCCUUCAGACAAGUGUUUACUGGGCAACUUCUUCGUGCUGUAAUUGAGUGUGGCCGAUUGCUCACAAAGAUGUUUGCAAAAUCCCUCCUGUCCCCUAACUCACUUCUCCUUGCAGUGUCACUCUGCCAACUUCUCCUGUCGAUUGGUGAAGACUGUUUCUCCUCCCCCUUGAAUAUGGGCUGGGCUUGUAACUUGCUUGACCAAUAGAAUGCAGAGAAAUGAAAUGCAGCCUUCAACAUUCAAGGCUAUGCUCAAGGAGUCUAACCCUGUGGAUAUGCUGUUGUCAAAUGAGGGAGCUUCGAUUAGCCUGUUGAAGACACACAGACGACCCGACAGGCAAUACCAACAUUCAGAUAUGCAAGUUAUGCUGUCUUAGACCAUGCUGCCCAGGUGAACUUUUAGACGACUGCAAUUUGUGAGUGACUCUAGGCAAGACCAGAAGAAACUUCUAGCUAAAUCUAAACCAAAUGCCAACUCAGAAUUGUAAGCAAAUAAAACGGUUGUUGUUUAAAGACACUAACUUUUGGGGUGUUUUGCCACACCUCAAUACAUAACUGUUACACUAAUUAUUUUUCAUUGUGAAAUCUUCAGCGUCUUAUUCUGUAAUCAAACCAGAAUGUCCUUGCCUUCUUAGCACUUUGCCACAGUCCAGUGGGGUGAAUAGACAGCAGCUGCUCAUUUAUGCUCAUGCUCAUGUUCAUAAUUUGCAUUUGGACUAAAAGGAGCUCUGUUCUCCAGGACAGAACUAUUCUAAAGCUCUUCAGGAACAGGAACAGGAGUCCAUCACAGACAGCGAAAUCAAAAGCGCCCUACAUAGAGGCAUCCAGACUGAGAGCUGAAAGGGAUCUGGGAAAUCAUUUAGUCUCACUCCCUCAUUUUCCAUUCAGACCACAGGGAUGAAAGAACUUGCUGAAGUUCUCACAGCUCUGUAGUGGCACAGUCAGAACAAGGAUCCCAAUCUCCUAACUACUAACAUAAAAUGCUUUCAGCAUGCAAGUUGAGCAUACAAUGGGACAGUUUAAAUUUAAAUGGUGUUUUGAGCAAGGGGAGAGUCUAAUUAAUUACUUCAAAGUAUAAUUUUGGAGUCACCAGAAAGGCGUUAAAGACAAAAAAAUGCUUUGGAACCUAGGUGCUUCAUAUCUGAAAUUGGGGCAGGUACAGGUGUAUUCCUACCACUAAAGGGUCAUUAGUUGGUUGGGUAGUCCUUUAGUGUUCUUGGUACUAAGCACAAAACAUGGGUAAGAUGGUUCAAGGCUGGUUGUGGUGGCUCAUGCCUAUAGCCCCAGCAUUUUAGGAGGCCAAGGCUGGAGGAUAGCUUGAGCCCAGGAAUUCGAGACAAGCCUGGGCAAUAUCGCAAGACCUUGUCUCUACAAAUAAUAAUUUCUUAAGAAUUGGCUGGGCAUGGUGGCACACACCUGUAGGCUAUUUGAGAGGUUGAGGUGGGAGGAUUGCUUUAGUGUGGGAGGCUGAGGCUGCAAUGAGGUGAUCACACUAUGGUACUACAGCCUGAGAAACAGUGUAAGAUCCUGCCUCAAAAAAAAAAAGUUUAUGUUCUCAAAGUGCUCAUAAUCUAGUGGUAGUACAGUAUUUGAGAUAUUAGAGCAGUUUCUCCUCCUUUUGCAACUAAGGACAUGUAUCUUUAAAGCAGAAGGAAUGGCAGAGUCGUGUAAUAAACCCUCAAGUACCAUUACUUAGCUUCAACAACUAUCGACACUCUACUGUUCUUGUUUCAUUUAUGCCUCACCUCCUUCCCAUCCCCCACUUGAAUAUUCUCAUCCUUUUUUUUUACAGUUUUUAAGAUAACAAUUACAUAACUGAAAUGCACAAAUCUUAGCUGUACAGUUUUGACAUAUGGAUACACCUGUGUAACCAAUGACUGUAUCACAACAUAGAGCAUUUCAUCUCCCCAGCAAGAUCCAUGUGUCUUUUCCUAGUUAAUGCCUCUUUAUUUCUGAGAUGGUUAUUGCUCUGCUUUUGUUUUUCAUGUUAGGCUAGUCUUGCCUGUUCUAGAAUUUCAUAUAACUGAGAACAUACAGAAUGUACUCACUAGUAGUGUCUGACUUUUUCACAAAGGAUAAUGUCUGUGGUAUUCAUUCAUGCUGUUGUAUGCAUCAGUAGUUUAUUUUCUUUUUACUAUUAAGUAGUGUUCUAAGGACUAUUUUAAUAGCAUCCCACAAAGGGGGUAUGAUAUGUUCUAUUUACAUUAUUAUUUGGUUUGUAAUAUUUUAUAUUUUCUCUUGUGAUUUC
Molecule: long non-coding RNA, 2507 nt
Filed under: Homo sapiens (human)
Lineage: Eukaryota; Metazoa; Chordata; Mammalia; Primates; Hominidae
Description: HSALNT0335403
Source: RNAcentral